RNAcentral lists this non-coding RNA (28 nucleotides) under Rattus norvegicus (Norway rat). Lineage: Eukaryota; Metazoa; Chordata; Mammalia; Rodentia; Muridae. The record is from RNAcentral.
UGUGGCCCGAGAUGAUGAUAAAACAUGA